RNAcentral lists this ribosomal RNA (253 nucleotides) under uncultured bacterium. RNAcentral's name for it is "partial 16S ribosomal RNA". It matches the Rfam family "Bacterial small subunit ribosomal RNA", at positions 524 to 776 of the family's 1533-position model. The record is from RNAcentral.
UACGUAGGGGGCAAGCGUUGUCCGGAUUUAUUGGGCGUAAAGAGCGUGUAGGCGGUCCGGUAAGUCCGCUGUGAAAGUCGGGGGCUCAACCCUGGGAUGCCGGUCGAUACUGCCGGACUAGAGUUCGGAAGAGGCGAGUGGAAUUCCCGGUGUAGCGGUGAAAUGCGCAGAUAUCGGGAGGAACACCAAUGGCGAAGGCAGCUCGCUGGGACGUUACUGACGCUGAGACGCGAAAGCGUGGGGAGCAAACAGG